AUGCUUUUCUAGUUCACAAGCAUGAUGAUUGGAGUUUCACGCUCACGUGUGAGAUGCACCUCCCUCAACACUUGUUAAGACGUCAGCACAUUACCUAUCAGACA
Molecule: small nucleolar RNA, 104 nt
Organism: Lemur catta (Ring-tailed lemur)
Lineage: Eukaryota; Metazoa; Chordata; Mammalia; Primates; Lemuridae
Product: small nucleolar RNA U13
Exons: 1
Source: RefSeq, a predicted model, not a curated record